AUUGAACGCUGGCGGCAGGCCUAACACAUGCAAGUCGAACGAGCGGCGGACGGGUGAGUAAUGUAUGGGGAACUGCCUGAUGGAGGGGGAUAACUACUGGAAACGGUAGCUAAUACCGCAUACCAUCGGAUGUACCCAGAUGGGAUUAGCUAGUAGGUGGGGUAACGGCUCACCUAGGCGACGAUCCCUAGCUGGUCUGAGAGGAUGACCAGCCACACUGGAACUGAGACACGGCCCAGACUCCUACGGGAGGCAGCAGUGGGGAAUAUUGCACAAUGGGCGCAAGCCUGAUGCAGCCAUGCCGCGUGUAUGAAGAAGGCCUUAGGGUUGUAAAGUACUUUCAGCGGGGAGGCGUUACCCGCAGAAGAAGCACCGGCUAACUCCGUGCCAGCAGCCGCGGUAAUUC
Molecule: ribosomal RNA, 406 nt
Filed under: uncultured bacterium
Lineage: Bacteria
Description: partial 16S ribosomal RNA
Rfam family: Bacterial small subunit ribosomal RNA
Source: RNAcentral